UUCACAUUUCUCACAGAUUCGCAACUCGAAACACCAUAUAAUUAAUAUCGUAUAAUUGUUUCCUCUUUCCCUCAUUUCAAGUGCUUCACGUUGUUUGUUUAUAUAUUUUUCAUAUCCUGGCCACUUGCUGUAUGUUUUAUAUUAUUGCCACUUUUGCUAACCCUCUCCAUUUGCAGAAUUAAUUAUCACCACUACACUUCUAUCACUUUUCCUUCUUAUUUUGGGCUUUUCCGGGCAGGUUACACCUAAGACAAUCGAGUUUUUAAGGCAAAAUAUACAAAGUAAAUUAGCCAGGUGAGGAAAGAGAGAGACUCACUCUUCAAGAUGUUUAUCAACGCAAGUGGCUGGGAGGUGUGAUAAGGACAGUAGGAAUGGAUUAGGAAAGAAGGAAGCAAGCAGACGCCAUUGUUGAUGUUGAUUACAAAUCAUGAAAGCGACGAACAUACUUGACCCUCAGUGUUUAAUUCUUCACUCUUACCUCUCCAUCAUGCUCAUGCUGCCUGACUUUUUGGACCACUUCUUGUUCAACUGCUGCCUGUGAUAAGUAAUGCGCCAUCUCAAAGAGAAUCUUGGAUUGCUUAACUAUAAUCAACUCUUUCUUCUCAGGUCUCAAUUAUAUUUUUGUCAAUCACAAAGUUUAAAUUCGAGACUUGAUUCAAUAGUUUACUUUCAAUCAUACUAAUGGUGUUCCUUGAUUAGGUUGAAAAAAAAAUAUUGAUUCGUUUAAAUAAUUAUGUUGUUUUUAUCCCAGCUCUCGUUUACCCUGUGAUCUCUCAAUUGUGAAUCGGAAAAUUGUAACGCAGUAGCUUAAAAAAAUUAAAUAUAGUUAGGAUGGAAUGUCUGAACUCGUGUGGAGUAUUUUCGGUUCUUUCCAUCCAACAACAGCAAACACCAUUUUUUGCGAUUAAUAUGGCCUUGUUGCAGUCAGAAAUAUUCUGAGACAGGAUCUAUGGCCACUCCAGUGCUUCAAUAUAUAUCAGUCCUGAUUUUAUUGAAAUAAAAACAAAACAGGGUCUAGACCAAAUAUUGUAAUGUAAUUUGUGGAUAUAUUACUCAUCAUUUCAGAUCCUCGAUCUGUGGGGAUCUGAAUAUAUGUAUUAAAAAUGAACUAGGUGAUCAUUGUAUAUGAAUGCAAAAUAUAUAAAUGAAACGGGAAAAAAUCUCA
Glycine soja is the source of this 1165-nucleotide long non-coding RNA. RefSeq lists it as uncharacterized. NCBI's taxonomy places the organism in Eukaryota, Viridiplantae, Streptophyta, Magnoliopsida, Fabales, Fabaceae. The record is from RefSeq and is a predicted model, not a curated record. The transcript has 3 exons.